GUGAGUUCAAAGUAACAUACACUAAAAUUGGAACGAUGCAGAGAAGAUUAGCCUGGCCGCUGCGCAAGCAUGACACGCAAAUUCGUGGCGUGUUCCACAUUUUU
Podarcis raffonei (Aeolian wall lizard) is the source of this 104-nucleotide small nuclear RNA. Lineage: Eukaryota; Metazoa; Chordata; Lepidosauria; Squamata; Lacertidae. The record is from RefSeq and is a predicted model, not a curated record.